AUUGAACGCUGGCGGCAUGCCUUACACAUGCAAGUCGAACGGCAGCACGGGUGCUUGUACCUGGUGGCGAGUGGCGAACGGGUGAGUAAUACAUCGGAACAUGUCCUGUAGUGGGGGAUAGCCCGGCGAAAGCCGGAUUAAUACCGCAUACGAUCUACGGAUGAAAGCGGGGGACCUUCGGGCCUCGCGCUAUAGGGUUGGCCGAUGGCUGAUUAGCUAGUUGGUGGGGUAAAGGCCUACCAAGGCGACGAUCAGUAGCUGGUCUGAGAGGACGACCAGCCACACUGGGACUGAGACACGGCCCAGACUCCUACGGGAGGCAGCAGUGGGGAAUUUUGGACAAUGGGCGAAAGCCUGAUCCAGCAAUGCCGCGUGUGUGAAGAAGGCCUUCGGGUUGUAAAGCACUUUUGUCCGGAAAGAAAUCCUUGGCUCUAAUACAGUCGGGGGAUGACGGUACCGGAAGAAUAAGCACCGGCUAACUACGUG
RNAcentral lists this ribosomal RNA (486 nucleotides) under uncultured bacterium. Its description in RNAcentral is "partial 16S ribosomal RNA". It matches the Rfam family "Bacterial small subunit ribosomal RNA", at positions 30 to 507 of the family's 1533-position model. The record is from RNAcentral.